UCUUGCUUAUUUGUGAUGUUUUGAACCUUUUUUCUAGAUUUAGUCUUUUUCCUAAAAACGUGGCUUCUAAUUGUUAAUUUUUAUGUAAAAUGAUUUUUUCUGACAAUUUUCUCGACUAAAGUGGUCACGUGAUUGACCACACCCAAAAUUGAAAGAAAUAUGAUCAUUUAAGUUACAAGAUGUAAACGUACUAGAAAACUCUCGUUUUUUCUUUCAAAACCUUUACCUUAGCUGGGUAUAUGUCGUUCUAAACGGGGAUUCUGAAAAUGUUUUAUUCUUUUGUCAUUAUUUCCUAUUUUUUCCUAGUCCCAGUCCUCUCCAAUGGAUAUACGUUUUAAUUUUAACAAAAGAAAUAAGUCUAUCAAACCCCGUUUAAUUCUCUAAACUUAGGGGCUAUAGCCAUUCGCAUAAAUCAAAAUUAGUCAAGCAUUACAACUGCAAUCCAUUGUAAAUUUGGCAACAAAGUUAUAUAAACAACUGGGUCUAGCCAAUCACGUGACCAAGCAGCAAAGUUCUUGAAACCAAAACAUAAAAAGCUUCUUUCAAAUACUUCACCCUAUGCAAGUUCAUAAGCGAUAGCUUAAAUAUAAUUUAAAUAAGACCACCCCCUCCAAAAUAUAGCUAGACCCAUUUAGGCUUUGGUAAAUUGUGCUAGCAUAAUUUAAGCAUAAUCUAGCAAAACGAGCAUAACUUUAAACUUUUAUUUCAGUUUAGCACUGCUAGCAUAAUCCGAGCUUUUAUCCGUUGAAAACAACAACAAAAAAAAACAUCAUAGUUCUAGAAUAAUUCAGUUUGUAUUUUAUUUCUGUGUUGUUUUUGGAAAAUAGUGAGGUCUGUGCUAAGGCCCAUGGUCAAAUAUGGUCCGGCAGACUCCAGGUCGCCCUGUGCAUAUCUGAGACUCUCCUCAGGCCACCACGCUUAUGGCUCGGCGGCUCGGCCCCACAGGGCCUCAGAUCAAAGAUGGCGUCGUCCUCGAGUACAUCCACUUCCAGCACUUCCAGCCCUUUCGGCACUUCCAGUGCCGUACCGAGAGCUUCAGUCUCUAAAGAACGUGUUCCUAAAAGUAAUACCGGAAAGUACAAGGAGAGAGGUAACUCGGAUCCAGAGAACAUGAGUCCUCGUGAUCGAAUCGAAGAAUUCCCGGGGAAAAAGACUGUAAGACUGGAAGGUGGACUAUAUGAAUGUUCAAUAACUUCAUUAAAGUCAAAAUUGAUAGAGUUAAGCUACUGGUGAUCUUUAUUUUCCUUAAAAUCUAAGUGGCAUAAUUUCGGUGACAGAGAGCAUAAUUUUCAGAAAGUAGCAUAAUUUUGGCAUAAUUUCUAAAAAACAUGAGCACUGCUAAAAGCAUAGUAUGCUUUUUUUCGGGCACAAUCUACCAAAGCCUAGACCCAUUCCUUAAUUCACUUGAGGCCUUUAAACUUGAGUAAUCCAUUGUAAUUGCGAUACGUUUCGUUACGUGUAGUAAACUUGAUUUAAAGUUUAAUUUGUCGUCUUACGCUCAAGAGUAACUUAGUUUCCAAAGGGGAAAGGAUUUCGAGGCUGCAUUCCAACACCUCUUGCCGCGAAAUACGAUGGACAAUUAAUCUUGGUCAUGAGCAAUAAAAUGCCAACUGAUCAGCUUACAUGGACCAAAGUAAUGCAUAAUUAACAGGUUAGUUCAAGUUUAUUUAUUACUAUCUCUUUGGUGUUUUUCUACUUUAGUGAGCUAUUAUUUUCAGGGCUAAUUUUGUACCUGGCCAAAAUAACUCAAAAUAUCGGGACGGAGCUUCUUCGGUAUGAAAUUCUUCUUGGAGACUUAUCGCUCAGUGAAAAAUGGGACUGUAUGCCGGCUGCAAUAUACUAGGAGAGUAGAGAAUUACCCUGAUACGUUUUUAUUCUUCAGAUUAUGCAGGAUCCCGUCAGCAAUCCAUCGUCAAAAUACACAUUGAAGAUGAAAAAAGACAGCAAGGAUUAUGACGAACAGGUUGAAGUUGACACUGAGAAAUUAAAGAAACAGAGACUUUCCACGUGCCAAAGACUUCACCCGAUGAUGAAGCAGGAGAUAUCGUCUACGACUUUAAGAAGGUUCCAAACGUGGUUUGAGGCGUUGGAUAUGAGAAUUGGUGUGUCGCUAUGUGUGCAGAAGGAUUUGCAAUUCCUUUUCCUACUAUGACUUUUGCUAUGAAAUCUGCUUUAGAGUCUGUCGGUGGGUCAGUGGAUAAAGCUUCCUUUGCCUGCCUUUACCGAGAAAUUUAUGUUAAGUUUUCGCUAAUAUAUAUUAUUAUUUGCUUCGUAAAGAAUACAAUUAGUUUUUUUAAAAUUUGACUGUUGUCAUAGAAGGACAAAAAAUCUAGGGCAAGUUUCACAGUUAAAAUCACUGAUUAAUAUUGUAAGAGAUUUAACUAAGCCAAGCAAAUAAAGCCAUUUAGUUUACCACA
This 2417-nucleotide long non-coding RNA is filed under the name Orbicella faveolata. Its description in RNAcentral is "uncharacterized LOC110042000". The record is from RNAcentral. Lineage: Eukaryota; Metazoa; Cnidaria; Anthozoa; Scleractinia; Merulinidae.